UGGGGAUGCCAGCAUGUUUUGUCAGAUCAGGAAGAGUGGAGAAACUGUGCCCCAAGCUUGAAAAAUGGAGGAGUUACAAUUUAAGAACUCAUGAGAAUUUCUACAACCAAAGGGAAAAAAGGGGCUGAAGCACCUAUUCCAGGGAUUAGCAACAAGACCUCACUUGGAAAAUCACAAGCACCUGAAUGUAAGAUGUUUGGAGUAAGACGAGACUAAAGGCAAGAAGACCAACCAGAAGUCUAGGUAUGAAGUAAUCAAGGGUCUAUACCAGGGAAGCAUCUAUGUGAGUGGAAAGAAAGGUAUGACAUAUAUGGGAGACGUUGGGAAGAUAUAAACAAUAUGACUCGAGGGCAGAUUGGAUGCAUGGGUUGAGUGCGGAGUCAAGGUUGACAAAACAUUUCAGGCAUGAGUGACUGAGAAGAUGGUAGUAUCCUAAAUGGUUAACAGUAAAGUUGAGAAAAGGGAUGGGUUUGGGGGUUGGGGAGGGAAUAAUAAGUUCUAUAUUGUAUAAGUUGAAUUUGAGAUACCUGUGGGACAAGCAUUUUAAGAAUUCCAAAAGGUAAUUAAUAAUGUGGGACUGGAGUUUAGAAG
RNAcentral lists this long non-coding RNA (591 nucleotides) under Monodelphis domestica (gray short-tailed opossum). Its description in RNAcentral is "lncRNA (ENSMODG00000041455.1)". Lineage: Eukaryota; Metazoa; Chordata; Mammalia; Didelphimorphia; Didelphidae. The record is from RNAcentral.